CUGAACCAGCCAAGUAGCGUGAAGGAUGACUGCCCUAUGGGUUGUAAACUUCUUUUAUACGGGAAUAAAGUGAGCCACGUGUGGCUUUUUGUAUGUACCGUAUGAAUAAGGAUCGGCUAAUUCCGUGCCAGCAGCCGCGGUAAUACGGAAGGUCCAGGCGUUAUCCGGAUUUAUUGGGUUUAAAGGGAGCGCAGGCGGACUCUUAAGUCAGUUGUGAAAGUUUGCGG
Molecule: ribosomal RNA, 227 nt
Filed under: uncultured bacterium
Lineage: Bacteria
Description: partial 16S ribosomal RNA
Rfam family: Bacterial small subunit ribosomal RNA
Source: RNAcentral